RNAcentral lists this ribosomal RNA (484 nucleotides) under uncultured bacterium. Its description in RNAcentral is "partial 16S ribosomal RNA". It matches the Rfam family "Bacterial small subunit ribosomal RNA", at positions 28 to 507 of the family's 1533-position model. The record is from RNAcentral.
GAUUAACGCUAGCGGCAGGCAUAAUACAUGCAAGUUGAACGGCAGCACAGGUAGCACUACUGGGUGGCGAGUGGCGCACGGGUGCGUAACACGUAUGCAACCUACCCUAUACAGGCGAAUAACCUUUAGAAAUGAGGGCUAAUACGCCGUAGUAUUACAGAUGGGCAUCUAUUUGUAAUUAAAGAUUUAUCGGUAUAGGAUGGGCAUGCGUCCCAUUAGUUAGUUGGUAAGGUAACGGCUUACCAAGACGAUGAUGGGUAGGGGAUCUGAGAGGACUUACCCCCAGACUGGUACGGAGACACGGACCAGACUCCUACGGGAGGCAGCAGUAAGGAAUAUUGGGCAAUGGCCGCGAGGCUGACCCAGCCAUGCCGCGUGCAGGAAGACGGCCUUAUGGGUUGUAAACUGCUUUUAUACGGGAAUAAUAGAGUGUACGCGUACAUUUAUGCAAGUAUCGUAUGAAUAAGCAGCGGCUAACUCCGUG